UAGGGAAUCUUGCGCAAUGGGCGAAAGCCUGACGCAGCGACACCGUGUGAAGGAUGAAGGUCUUCGGAUCGUAAACUUCUGUCAGUUGGAGAAGAAGGUGCUGGAGUUAAUAGCUUUUAGCACUGACGGUAUCCAAUAAGGAAGUCUCGGCUUACUCCGUGCCAGCAGCCGCGGUAAGACGGGGGAGGCAAGCGUUGUCCGGAUUUAUUGGGCGUAAAGAGCGCGUAGGUGGUUUUUCAAGUCAUAUGUGAAAACUUCAGGCUUAACCUGAAGAUUGCAUAUGAUACUGGGAAACUUGAGUACAGUAGAGGAAAGCGGAAUUCCUGGUGUAGCGGUGAAAUGCGCAGAUAUCAGGAAGAACACCAGUGGCGAAGGCGGCUUUCUGGGCUGUUACUGACACUGAGGCGCGAAAGCUAGGGGAGCGAACAGGAUUAGAUACCCUGGUAGUCUUAGCUGUAAACGAUGGACACUAGGUGUGGGGAGUUAUCGACGCUUUCCGUGCCGCAGCUAACGCAUUAAGUGUCCCGCCUGGGGAGUACGACCGCAAGGUUA
RNAcentral lists this ribosomal RNA (552 nucleotides) under uncultured bacterium. Its description in RNAcentral is "bacterial SSU rRNA". It matches the Rfam family "Bacterial small subunit ribosomal RNA", at positions 355 to 896 of the family's 1533-position model. The record is from RNAcentral.